Molecule: ribosomal RNA, 197 nt
Filed under: uncultured bacterium
Lineage: Bacteria
Description: partial 16S ribosomal RNA
Rfam family: Bacterial small subunit ribosomal RNA
Source: RNAcentral
ACGCUCGACACUACGGGAGACAGCAGUGGGGAAUAUUGCACAAUGGGGGAAACCCUGAUGCAGCGACGCCGCGUGAGCGAAGAAGUAUUUCGGUAUGUAAAGCUCUAUCAGCAGGGAAGAAACUGACGGUACCUGACUAAGAAGCACCGGCUAAAUACGUGCCAGCAGCCGCGGUAAUCUGAGCGGGCUGGCAAGGC